GCUUAACACAUGCAAGUCGAGGGGCAGCAUGGUCUUAGCUUGCUAAGACUGAUGGCGACCGGCGCACGGGUGAGUAACACGUAUCCAACCUGCCGUCUACUCUUGGACAGCCUUCUGAAAGGAAGAUUAAUACAAGAUGGCAUCAUGAGUCCGCAUGUUCACAUGAUUAAAGGUAUUCCGGUAGACGAUGGGGAUGCGUUCCAUUAGAUAGUAGGCGGGGUAACGGCCCACCUAGUCUUCGAUGGAUAGGGGUUCUGAGAGGAAGGUCCCCCACAUUGGAACUGAGACACGGUCCAAACUCCUACGGGAGGCAGCAGUGAGGAAUAUUGGUCAAUGGGCGAGAGCCUGAACCAGCCAAGUAGCGUGAAGGAUGACUGCCCUAUGGGUUGUAAACUUCUUUUAUAAAGGAAUAAAGUCGGGUAUGCAUACCCGUUUGCAUGUACUUUAUGAAUAAGGAUCGGCUAACUCCGUGCCAGCAGCCGCGGUAAUACGGAGGAUCCGAGCGUUAUCCGGAUUUAUUGGGUUUAAAGGGAGCGUAGAUGGAUGUUUAAGUCAGUUGUGAAAGUUUGCGGCUCAACCGUAAAAUUGCAGUUGAUACUGGAUAUCUUGAGUGCAGUUGAGGCAGGCGGAAUUCGUGGUGUAGCGGUGAAAUGCUUAGAUAUCACGAAGAACUCCGAUUGCGAAGGCAGCCUGCUAAGCUGCAACUGACAUUGAGGCUCGAAAGUGUGGGUAUCAAACAGGAUUAGAUACCCUGGUAGUCCACACGGUAAACGAUGAAUACUCGCUGUUUGCGAUAUACGGCAAGCGGCCAAGCGAAAGCGUUAAGUAUUCCACCUGGGGAGUACGCCGGCAACGGUGAAACUCAAAGGAAUUGACGGGGGCCCGCACAAGCGGAGGAACAUGUGGUUUAAUUCGAUGAUACGCGAGGAACCUUACCCGGGCUUAAAUUGCAGAUGAAUUACGGUGAAAGCCGUAAGCCGCAAGGCAUCUGUGAAGGUGCUGCAUGGUUGUCGUCAGCUCGUGCCGUGAGGUGUCGGCUUAAGUGCCAUAACGAGCGCAACCCUUGUUGUCAGUUACUAACAGGUUCCGCUGAGGACUCUGACAAGACUGCCAUCGUAAGAUGUGAGGAAGGUGGGGAUGACGUCAAAUCAGCACGGCCCUUACGUCCGGGGCUACACACGUGUUACAAUGGGGGGUACAGAGGGCCGCUACCACGCGAGUGGAUGCCAAUCCCAAAAACCUCUCUCAGUUCGGACUGGAGUCUGCAACCCGACUCCACGAAGCUGGAUUCGCUAGUAAUCGCGCAUCAGCCACGGCGCGGUGAAUACGUUCCCGGGCCUUGUACACACCGCCCGUCAAGCCAUGGGAGCCGGGGGUACCUGAAGUGCGUAACCGCGAGGAGCGCCCUAGGGUAAAACUGGUGACUGGGGC
This 1431-nucleotide ribosomal RNA is filed under the name uncultured organism. Its description in RNAcentral is "16S ribosomal RNA". It matches the Rfam family "Bacterial small subunit ribosomal RNA". The record is from RNAcentral.